UACAGAGGUCUCAAGCGUUGUUCGGAUUCAUUGGGCGUAAAGGGUGCGUAGGUGGCGAGGCAAGUCAGAUGUGAAAUCCCGGGGCUCAACCCCGGAACUGCAUUUGAAACUGCCUUGCUCGAGUACUGGAGAGGAGACUGGAAUUUACGGUGUAGCAGUGAAAUGCGUAGAUAUCGUAAGGAAGACCAGUGGCGAAGGCGAGUCUCUGGACAGUCACUGACACUGAGGCACGAAGGCCAGGGGAGCAAACGGG
RNAcentral lists this ribosomal RNA (253 nucleotides) under uncultured bacterium. RNAcentral's name for it is "partial 16S ribosomal RNA". It matches the Rfam family "Bacterial small subunit ribosomal RNA", at positions 524 to 776 of the family's 1533-position model. The record is from RNAcentral.